AUCUGGCCGGCGGAAUUCAGGAUGGCGAGCGUGUCUUCGCGGGCACGCUGGUCGUUUGAUAUUUCCGUCGCCGAUGCGAAAGCGCAGACGUCGCGACCUGUUCGCGGUCGGUCCCUGCUCGGAGGAGCCGCGUUCGAGCUCGUUGUGGGCGCGUUUCGGCGCGUCACACGGCGAAGGCGCGGAUCUCUGGCCGGCCGUCGGACAGUAGGUUCAGCGGUGUCCGGUGCCGCGGUCUUGUGGGCGCGCGCAUCCGGUACCGGUCGGCGACGAUUUCUUCGGGCCUCUUUCCGACCCGUCUUGAAACACGGACCAAGGAGUCUAACAUGCGCGCGAGUCGCGGGGUGUCGAGCGUACUACGGUGCGUUCGUUACGUUUGCGAAACCCGUACAUGUCGAAGGCGUAAUGAAAGUGAAUGGGGAAGAUGGUGUUCCGAGUACACGUUCCGCGGUCAUUGGUACCGCGGCCGGACACCCGCAUUCCCGGGGCGUCUCAACGGCCCGUCGCGGAUGCGGACAGUCGUCUUUCGGGGCGGCUGUCGGUCUGCGACGAACCGA
RNAcentral lists this ribosomal RNA (554 nucleotides) under Microparlatoria fici. RNAcentral describes it as "eukaryotic LSU rRNA". The record is from RNAcentral. Lineage: Eukaryota; Metazoa; Arthropoda; Insecta; Hemiptera; Diaspididae.